UACGUAGGGUCCGAGCGUUGUCCGGAAUUAUUGGGCGUAAAGAGCUCGUAGGCGGUCUGUCGCGUCGGCUGUGAAAACCUGGGGCUCAACUCCAGGCCUGCAGUCGAUACGGGCAGACUAGAGUUCGGUAGGGGAGACUGGAAUUCCUGGUGUAGCGGUGAAAUGCGCAGAUAUCAGGAGGAACACCCGUGGCGAAGGCGGCUCUCUGGGACGGUACUGACGCUGAGACGCGAAAGCGUGGGGAGCGAACAGG
RNAcentral lists this ribosomal RNA (253 nucleotides) under uncultured bacterium. Its description in RNAcentral is "partial 16S ribosomal RNA". It matches the Rfam family "Bacterial small subunit ribosomal RNA", at positions 524 to 776 of the family's 1533-position model. The record is from RNAcentral.